Molecule: ribosomal RNA, 253 nt
Filed under: uncultured bacterium
Lineage: Bacteria
Description: partial 16S ribosomal RNA
Rfam family: Bacterial small subunit ribosomal RNA
Source: RNAcentral
UACGUAGGGGGCUAGCGUUGUCCGGAAUUAUUGGGCGCAAAGAGCGUGUAGGCGGUCCGGUAAGUCAGCUGUGAAAGUCAAGGGCUCAACCCUUGAAAGCCGGUUGAUACUGUCGGGCUAGAGUCCGGAAGAGGCGAGUGGAAUUCCCGGUGUAGCGGUGAAAUGCGCAGAUAUCGGGAGGAACACCAAUGGCGAAGGCAGCUCGCUGGGACGGUACUGACGCUGAGACGCGAAAGCGUGGGGAGCAAACAGG